This is a long non-coding RNA of Apis cerana (Asiatic honeybee), 690 nucleotides long. RefSeq lists it as uncharacterized. Lineage: Eukaryota; Metazoa; Arthropoda; Insecta; Hymenoptera; Apidae. The record is from RefSeq and is a predicted model, not a curated record.
AACAUCUGGAAGAAUUCUGAAUUAUAGUUACUUAUUAUCUUUCUUCUAAAUUACUUCAACUUUAUUCUUUCUUUUUGUCGAAAUUUCUAUCAUUUUGUUAUUUUUCCUUUGAUUUGUAUUUGUUAUAGAUUUCAUCAUCAUCAAAUUAAUUAAUUAAUUAAUUAUAUAGAAUUUUAUAGAAAGAUUGGAUACAUAAGGAAUUGAAGGAAGAUCGCAAGUUAUCUAAAUACUUAUAAAGAGGAAUUGGAGAGGGGUUGCAAAUUAUAUGAAUAUUACAAAAAGGGAUCGAGGAAUUCAAGAGACAUUACAAGAUUCUAUUUAUAGAACUGGAAAAGCAUUUCUCAUUGCUCGUGAUACACGAGUUUGUUCCCCUCGACACCGAGAGAAUCGAAAGUUACGGCUUGCAUUCUGCAACGCAAUUCACCAACACGCUUGUGCGCCUACGAGCUUCUCGUAUUAUUAUCGCAGCGUUUAUAUUUAGCGGCAAUUAAUCAGCUGUCGACCGUAUCCGCUUCAGCUUGAGCUCCAUUUUUAUUAUUUUUUAACAAAUCUUCGUCGAGAAAUUGUCGUCUAUUAUAACUCCUUCUCCAUUAUAACUCAUGAUCUAUAGAGAUUUUCCAAUUAAUUUCCUUUAUUUAUUAAAGAAAGAAUUUAUGUGUAUAUAUGAUAAAUAAAAAUAAUCGAGAAGCA